This is a long non-coding RNA of Oncorhynchus keta (chum salmon), 7212 nucleotides long. RefSeq lists it as uncharacterized. The record is from RefSeq and is a predicted model, not a curated record. The transcript is spliced from 4 exons. Lineage: Eukaryota; Metazoa; Chordata; Actinopteri; Salmoniformes; Salmonidae.
AUCACCGUAGGUUUUACAGCAUAUUGCAGUACUGCUAGAUGUUAGGGCUGCUGGAACCUACUCCAGAAUUCAAACAACAACAAAGUGGACACCCCAUCACUUUUUCUGGUGAUCAAAUGAGGGACAGGGCUGGAGAAAUGGAAACCCUCUCAAAUGCAUUGAUGCAUUUCUACGUUUAUUGAUAAGUGAUGUUCUUUAAGAAUCAGUUUAGCAUUUAAAUCAUUCAUUUGAAAGUAAAACAACGUUUUACCAAUCCCAGAUUUCCCCUUUAAAGUGUUGCAUGUACUGUAUCUAAGAAUAGUUGUUUUCUUCAGGUUUGUGAGCUGAAAUGUACUGUAUCUAAGAAUAGUUGUUUUCUUCAGGUUUGUGAGCUGAAAUGUACUGUAUCUAAGAAUAGUUGUUUUCUUCAGGUUUGUGAGCUGAAAUGUACUGUAUCUAAGAAUAGUUGUUUUCUUCAGGUUUGUGAGCUGAAAUGUACUGUAAAAGAGGUCAGUGGUGGUUAAACACUGGUAUACAGUUCAGGUCCCAGUGGGACCAUUUUACACACAUAUGUGCCGACAUAUGUAGCUGUGCGACCCGGAAUGCCUAGAAAAACAAAGGAUUCUGUCUCUAUUGUCUCAAAUAUUUUUCAUUGUGCUCCUAAAUGUCUUUGUGUGCGUCUACAUUUUCCAACUUCGGCACGCACGUGCUCCUUGUAAAAAAGAAAAGGUCAGCGCAGAGGUCUGGGUGAGUGAUAUACAUUUCAGGUCACUGGGACACCGUUAACCCUCUGGGACCAGACACUAUAGAAAAACAUAGAUAUGAAGAUUCAAUGGGGACUUUGUAAACAUUCGGCAGCAAGGCAUUUUUCAAGACAAGUUUUCUACUUUCUGAACUACUCACCCGCACCUGGGAUUUAUAUUCAUCCAUCUCCACGGCUACGGCUGCUGGGAAAUCUGUUGGUGACCAAUGACAGAGAAGGUUUUGUACCCUACACUACAUUACCAAAAUGUCAGGCACAGAUGUUGGGUGAUUAGGUGUGGUUUGCAGUCGGCGUUCCAAUUCAUCCCAAAGGUGUUUGAUUGGGUUGAGGUCAGAGCUCUGUUAUGGCCCGUCAAGUUCUUCCACACCGAUCUAGACAAACCAUUUCAGUAUAGACUUCGAUUUGUACAUGGGGGCAUUGAAACAGGACAAUGCUCUUGCCACAAAGUUGGAAGCACCGAAUCAUCUAAAAUGUAAUUGUAUGCUGUAGCGAUAAGAUUUCCCUUCACUGGAACUAAGGGGCCUAGCCCGAACCAUGAAAAACAGCCCCAGACCAUUAUUCCUCUUCCACCAAACUUUACAGUUGCACUAUGCAUUUGGGCAGGUAGUGUUAUCUUGGCAUCCGCCAAACGCAGAUUCGUCCGUCGGACUGCCAGAUUGUGAAGUGCGAUUCAUCACUCCAAGAGAACGCGUUUCCACUGCUCCAGAGUCCAAUGGCGGUGAGCUUUACACCACUACAGCCAACGCUUGACAUUACGUAUGAUGAUCUUAGACUUGUGUGCAGCUGCUCGGCCAUGGAAACCUAUUUCGUGGAGCUCCUGACAAGCAGUUCUUGUGCUGACGUUGCUUCCAGAGGCAGUUUUGAACUUUGUAGUGAGUGUUACAACCGAGGACAGACGACAAGACCUUAUUAUGUGGUCACUCACAUUUCCAUGGAAACUCCUACCAGACACAAGUGCAAUGGCCAUCUUAUUUUGAUCCUUAUUUUAUCCUCUAGGGGAGUCGAGGAAAAACAGCGAAAACAACGCAAUUAUAUAACUCACAAACACAAUUUGCAUUUCCUUCUCAUGUCCUCUAAAUAUAACUUUCAAAAGUAACGUUUAAUUACACACUUUUUAGUAUUUUUUAUUUCCGCUGCAUUGAGGCGGAGGGUUUUUGAAGUCGCUCAGGCAUUUUCUAUAUAUUUUUCUUCUUUUCGGGCUGUAAUUACACACGUUGAUCUGAGAAGUGGAGAGAAACUUUCAAGCACUCCCAUUUAAACACAUGUACCUGGAGACUCGGUUAAGAACAUCACCUAACUCUCAGCAUUAGAAAGAUGGUUGGAAAACAUGAACUAUGUUCAAUAUAGCGCUUUUUGACAGUUAUUUUCAUCUUUUUUAAUAAAGAUAUGUAAAAAAAAAUUGACUAGGCAUUAUAUCAAAUAUGAUCAGACUUGGCCUCAAUUACUAUUUGAAAUCUUUCAAAUACUUUUUUUGCCUGUCUGGUGGACGAGGUUUGACGUUUUGAGACUAUUCGAUUGGUUUAUUAAACCAGGCCAUAUUAUUCGACUGGAAAUGAUGUCGGCUAGUUGUGGUAAUAACAUACAGUAACUCCCUGGGGGAAAGACAAGUCAUAUGAAUCAUCCCAGCCUGUCUUCAGUUUACUUCUCUCUCUCUCUCUCUCUCUCUCUCUCUCUCUCUCUCUCUCUCUCUCUCUCUCUCUCUCUCGGUAAAGAAAACAAUCAUGACUCAUCACUUUUCAAUUAGCGGUUAAAUCGGCGCUAAUUCAUUAAUUAAUUUAAGUGCUCAGGUGGAACCAAACACUGCCUGAAUCGGAUCCCCAGGGGAACCAGAAGGGCGCAACACCACUCAAACAGCUCUCCUCUGGAGUUUCAAACAGGAACCAAAAUAAGAUGGCAGAACACAAGCUUUGAUCAUUCCGUGAAACACCAGCCUAUUUUCCCCCUAUAAACAAAUCAUCAAAUGGCCCUUUAAUUAAUGAAGGGAAAAACAUCCUCUCUAAGUCUAAGAUACCAUCCACUGGUACUGUGCAACAUUAAAGAGCCACUGUUUUAGUCAAGAUGCUAUCGUUGGACAGAUCCUUUAAAGUCAGAAUAAUUAAAUUCAAGGGAAGGCCCCUCCAGUGCCGCCACCUACCUAAUCAAGGAAGAUGACGUUAAACUUGUGAAUAUUUUUAUCCUCUGGAAAACUUUAUCCAGCCCUCAUCUUAGUCUUCGAGCCCAUAUCCUUGGAGAGGCUUCCUUUAACCACCAGAAACGUCGGAGACGGCAACAGCCGCGUUGCCGCAGGGACCACAGCUCUUGUGCUUAGUCGGGUGUGUUCGCCAAAAAUAGCCCAGUGGAGACGUUACAGGGGCGUUGCCGGGGCGACGGGCUAUUUUAUACCUGACUCUAACAACGAGCUCGGCUCCCGACAACCUAAGAAGAAAGCCGGUGCCAGAGGUUAGCGAGGUUACAGAGGAAAUCAAGGCCUCGUUUACAUAUCCCAUCCCUCCCUUGUUGUGGUCUCCGCAGAGAUGAGUCGAGAGAAUCGCAACUUUUUCCGCCUUCCUUUUGUGUGUAACUCACAGAACAAAAUGACAUUUAUUUUUAGUUGUCUUUGAACAUAACAGUAGCUGCAGGUGUGGCUGCACUGUGAGACCCAGCCGUGCCGUAAAUGUAUACAUCAAUAUAUAUAUAUGCAGACCCCACCUCGUCAACAAAGCAACAAACACCAUCUCCCAGGGUGGGGUGUCAUUAAAAUAAAUUGCUGUGUACACCGGGCGGAGACGCGGUGUGGAGCGCUGAGCUGCGAAACAAGGGAUGUUUAAAACGCAGACCCAGAGCCUCUGUCCCUCUGAGGAGAGUGAUGCGGCUUUGAGGGAAAAGCACACUUUGUACGCUGUAAUUAACACCCCGCUGGGUUGUGUGUGCGUCUCUCACGACUCACUGCCAUUCUCCCAACUACCAUCUCCACCACCUCUGGGUCUGGGCCCAGUUGGUCAUGUGACGCAGGUGAAAAACCCAGGAAGCGGCGGUUGAGGUCAGCUGGGGCGCCACCAUUUUGUGUGCCCAGUUGGGACGCCACAAGGUUCCCACCUAUUUCAACCAUAACUGAAACAGUGAUUCUACAUUACUGAACUGUAUUCUUGUGACUGUCAGCUGUGGCAUAGAGAAACACACACUGCCCUCGCCGCCAUGGUUACUUCAUAAUCACAAACCCUUAUUAUAAUCGUCCUAUAAUAUAUUCUAGUCUUCUCUUCUCUGUUGUCGUGUUACAAUAGCUGUCUCUGCAAGCCUUCAACGUGACCGAGCCCAUCUAUUGUGAUUAGAGAGGAUUUGUUUCCUAACCAACCUCUAUAAAACGUAUUAAACUCACCACACUGAGACUCAUUAGACAGUGAAUAUCUUGUCUCCAUCUAUACACACCAGACAGAAAGCAUAUUGUUUUCAUUCGUUUAAAAUAUCGCCGGAGUGAUGAGAAUAGCAAUGUUGUUAGGGACUGAAGGGAAUCAGCCAACGAGGAGUAUAAAGAACUAGUUGGAAAGCAGCCACUGAAGGCGAGAAGAGAAGAAGAGAUGUAUUCAUUUAUUUUUUAUAUUAACAUCCUCUACAGGUAUUGUACUAUCAACCACCAUGCCCCACCUCGGCCAUUUUAUAAUUAGCCGGUUGAUAGCAAAUGGCUCUUUUGAGAGAGGGAGAGAGGGUGGGAGAGAGAGGGAGUUCAUUUUUGUGCAUGGUGUUAACUGUCCUCUCCUGAGCAGCGUGGUGGAGAGACAUUUUCAGGGAAGAGAUGUAAGAGUCAUUCCCUCACACAACUGUCAAGAAUCAAUUUACGCUUUGCCACUUUCUGACUGAGAGACGCUAGAGGACCAGGGUUUUAUGUACUGGGGAAUGGAUAGUACUGAGGUUCCACUGUCCCUGACUGGACCAGGGUUAAAUGUACUGUGGAAUGGAUAGUACUGAGGUUCCACUGUCCCUGACUGGACCAGGGUUAAAUGUACUGUGGAAUGGAUAGUACUGAGGUUCCACUGUCCCUGACUGGACCAGGGUUAAAUGUACUGGGGAAUGGAUAGUACUGAGGUUCCACUGUCCCUGUCUGGACCAGGGUUAAAUGUACUGGGGAAUGGAUAGUACUGAGGUUCCGCUGUCCCUGACUGGACCAGGGUUAAAUGUACUGGGGAAUGGAUAGUACUGAGGUUCCACUGUCCCUGUCUGGACCAGGGUUAAAUGUACUGGGGAAUGGAUAGUACUGAGGUUCCGCUGUCCCUGACUGGACCAGGGUUAAAUGUACUGGGGAAUGGAUAGUACUGAGGUUCCGCUGUCCCUGACUGGACCAGGGUUAAAUGUACUGGGGAAUGGAUAGUACUGAGGUUCCACUGUCCCUGACUGGACCAGGGUUAAAUGUACUGGGGAAUGGAUAGUACUGAGGUUCCACUGUCCCUGUCUGGACCAGGGUUAAAUGUACUGGGGAAUGGAUAGUACUGAGGUUCCACUGUCCCUGACUGGACCAGGGUUAAAUGUACUGGGGAAUGGAUAGCACUGAGGUUCCACUGUCCCUGACUGGACCAGGGUUAAAUGUACUGGGGAAUGGAUAGUACUGAGGUUCCACUGUCCCUGACUGGACCAGGGUUAAAUGUACUGGAGAAUGAAUAGUACUGAGGUUACACUCUGACUCCCUGACUCGUUUUUCCUCACUUUGCUCACCAAUGGCUGUGUCCUAAAUGGCACGCUAUUCCCUUUAUAUUAUAGUGCACUACUUUUGACUAGAACCCUAUGGGCCCUGGUCAAAAGUAGUGCACUGAUUAGGGUGUGAGUUGGGACACAACCCAAGUAUGAUGAAGCCCUAUAUAAUUUUCCUCUUCUGGUAUAAUUGGUGGAUUUCACAGUAGAAUUCUACUUAAUAUAAUACAUGUACAUACUGGUCAAAAGUAGUGCACUCAAUGGAGAUUGGGCUGCCAUUUGGGAUGCAUGCCAAGAUGUUGAAUCAUCAGCCUGAAGAAUAUCCAAACUCCCCUUCAGAUCCCAUUAAUAAUGGAUGGCCACAAGGGGUUGUAGAGUUAUCUUCACUAGACUGAUGUAUGGUGGCUGGGGUGUCAUGAAUCAACAUGAAAUGCAAUAAAACCAGCACCGCUAAAAGCAUGUUAUUUUAUAUGGGGCCGCGAGCUGACUUCUGGUCAUGUGAUAUCUCUGACAGACUCUUAUCGGCCACGCUUUAGGGUCUCUGAGUAUUUGAUAUUUCAUGUUAGGGACGUAGCGAGAGAGGGCGCGACUCAAAACAAUGUUAAUAUUCAGAAGAGAUCAUCAAUUUUGACCCGAGGGCAGUGAAUUAAAAGUCAUUUUGUGGAAAAAGACCAGUUAUACCCUCAUAAAAAUGCAGCCUCUUCUGGUGUUGAUGUCUGAAUAUUAAAAAAAAAACACUUUUGGGCUCAUUAGAGAGCUAUUGUCUUAAUAAGAAGUAGGUUUUCUCAUGCAGAGUUCUAGUUUUCAAUAGCAUUGUUAACAAUGGGCCGUGUAAACUGUGGUCUUGUUCCGUUCACCACGGCUGCGUCCCAAAUAGCACCCUAUUCCCUAUAUAGAGCACUGCUUUUGACCACAGGCCUGUAGACGGGUUAGCUGACAACCUUAGGAAAACAAUGUGCGCGUCAGUGGGGCAGAAUGCGGUGUGUUGUUAUGGUUCUGAACGGCCAAAUCCCUAGAAACAAUGACAAGAAACGACCAUCGUAGCUGACUCGUUUCAGCUAGUUGUAUCGUGUUCUUGAUGCCAUGUCUUGUUUUGAGGAGUUUUGACUGGUGUCACAAUAUGGUGUCGCAAAAUAUGUGCUAGCUAGCAAACUCUAACGAUGUAUUUGAGAGACAACAAGUGCUGAUUGUGCAAAUGUAUUUAUGUUUUCAAUAACCAUCGGAAACUAAAUAAAGUUUACGUGUUGUCAACAUUCUAAGCCAACCCUGUCAGUUUUGCCCCAUAGUUGCCCCACCCCUCGGUGUUGUUGCUAACCAACCAUCCAGUCUAUGGAACCUUGUCAAAAGUAGUGCACUACAAAGGGAAAGGGCUGCCAUUGGGGACAUAAAUUUUGAAAUGCUUCACCAGCAUAUUAUUCUAGCCCGCUAAUAUUGGCACGUACCGUGGGUUUCUCCCUUAAAUGUAAUCCAACAAUAAAGUCGCGGCUGGAACAGUCACGUAACGUUUAGCAAACCUGUUAUUAUUUUACAAGUGUUUCAAUUCCUGGGCUACAUUUAAAAAAAGAUGAUUGUUCUUGCAAGUAAUAGAGAAAAACAUGAAAUUGCCCCCAAGUUUAGUUAUUGCUAUUCUUAAAGUGUGUCUGUUGCAGCUAAACUCCUGGUGUUAUUGGAAGAGGUCUGCAGGGUGGGAGAAACUAGGAAACAUUGGAGCUCCGGACAAUUGGACAUUAGGGGUUAGUGUAGUGGUGUACAGUCUCUCUCUCUCUCUCUCUCUCUCUCUCUCUCUCUCUCUCUCUCUCUCUCUCUCUCUC